Heterocephalus glaber (naked mole-rat) is the source of this 368-nucleotide non-coding RNA. The record is from RefSeq and is a predicted model, not a curated record. Lineage: Eukaryota; Metazoa; Chordata; Mammalia; Rodentia; Bathyergidae.
AGGAUCCAGAAUAGAACUUAAGAAGCUGAAGGCCAAGUAGUUCUACAUAGCCAUGAAGAAGGCCAGAGACCUUCUUGAGAUGUUAUCUACAGAGCUGGUCUGGAUGGGAUGCCAGUCUAAACCUACACAUUAAUCUGAAGCCAAUGGAUUGAGGCAUCAAGAAUGCCAACAAGCAGGGCAAGCGCUGAAGUCAGAGCGUGUCAGGCCUUAUGAGAUUGGACCAGCUUCUAUAAGAAUAGGUUGUUACCAGUGAUCCUGGAACCUCCUGAAAAUCCUUCUUCUGGACAUACUCCAACCAUUGUGAUGCCAUCUACCAUGACGCACUCAUCAGAGCCAAACAAAAGCUGGUGCUGUGCUCUUGAAUCUCC